UACAGGGGGGGCAAGCGUUGUUCGGAAUUACUGGGCGUAAAGGGCUCGUAGGCGGCCGGCUAAGUCCGACGUGAAAUCCCCAGGCUUAACCUGGGAACUGCGUCGGAUACUGGCGGGCUUGAAUCCGGGAGAGGGAUGCGGAAUUCCAGGUGUAGCGGUGAAAUGCGUAGAUAUCUGGAGGAACACCGGUGGCGAAGGCGGCAUCCUGGACCGGUAUUGACGCUGAUGAGCGAAAGCUAGGGGAGCAAACGGG
This 253-nucleotide ribosomal RNA is filed under the name uncultured bacterium. Its description in RNAcentral is "partial 16S ribosomal RNA". It matches the Rfam family "Bacterial small subunit ribosomal RNA", at positions 524 to 776 of the family's 1533-position model. The record is from RNAcentral.